GAUGAACGCUAGCGGGAGGCCUAACACAUGCAAGCCGGGCGGUAUUUGUUCUUCGGAACAGAGAGAGCGGCGCACGGGUGCGGAACACGUGUGCAACCUGCCUUUAUCUGGGGGAUAGCCUUUCGAAAGGAAGAUUAAUACCCCAUAAUAUAUUGAGUGGCAUCAUUUGAUAUUGAAAACUCCGGUGGAUAGAGAUGGGCACGCGCAAGAUUAGAUAGUUGGUGAGGUAACGGCUCACCAAGUCAAUGAUCUUUAGGGGGCCUGAGAGGGUGAUCCCCCACACUGGUACUGAGACACGGACCAGACUCCUACGGGAGGCAGCAGUGAGGAAUAUUGGACAAUGGGUUAGCGCCUGAUCCAGCCAUCCCGCGUGAAGGACGACGGCCCUAUGGGUUGUAAACUUCUUUUGUAUAGGGAUAAACCUACUCUCGUGAGAGUAGCUGAAGGUACUAUACGAAUAAGCACCGGCUAACUCCGUG
This 479-nucleotide ribosomal RNA is filed under the name uncultured bacterium. RNAcentral describes it as "partial 16S ribosomal RNA". It matches the Rfam family "Bacterial small subunit ribosomal RNA", at positions 28 to 507 of the family's 1533-position model. The record is from RNAcentral.